This 296-nucleotide unclassified non-coding RNA is filed under the name Calonectria sp. RNAcentral's name for it is "partial contains 5.8S ribosomal RNA, internal transcribed spacer 2, and large subunit ribosomal RNA". The stretch from base 1 to 71 matches the Rfam family "5.8S ribosomal RNA", at positions 84 to 154 of the family's 154-position model. Lineage: Eukaryota; Fungi; Ascomycota; Sordariomycetes; Hypocreales; Nectriaceae. The record is from RNAcentral.
GUGAGUCAUCGAAUCUUUGAACGCACAUUGCGCCCGCCAGUAUUCUGGCGGGCAUGCCUGUUCGAGCGUCAUUUCAACCCUCAAGCUCAGCUUGGUGUUGGGGAUCGGCAAGGCGUCCUCCGGGUCGCGCCGUCCCCCAAAUUUAGUGGCGGUCUCGCUGUAGCUUCCUCUGCGUAGUAAUACACCUCGCUCUGGAGUCUCGGUGCGGCCACGCCGUAAAACCCCCAACUUUUUCUGGUUGACCUCGAAUCAGGUAGGACUACCCGCUGAACUUAAGCAUAUCAAUAAGCGGAGGA